This 436-nucleotide ribosomal RNA is filed under the name Orthetrum abbotti. RNAcentral describes it as "partial 16S ribosomal RNA". Lineage: Eukaryota; Metazoa; Arthropoda; Insecta; Odonata; Libellulidae. The record is from RNAcentral.
AAUUAACGGCCGCGCCCUAUUGACCGUGCAAGGUAGCAUAAUCAUUAUUCUUUUAAUAGAGGGCUGGAAUGAAAGGUUUAACGAACAACUGACUGUCUCAUUUUAUUUCUUUUAAAAUUUAAUUUUUUAGUUAAAAAGCUAAGAUUUUAUUGGUAGACGAGAAGACCCUAUAGAGCUUUAUAUUUAAUUAUAUAAAUAUUUUAAUAUUAAUAUUUUUAUUUAAUUCUUUAUUUUGUUGGGGUGACAAAAAUAUAUAUAUAACUUUUUUAUUUAAUGACCAUUGAUUUAUGAGUAUUAUAUCCAUUAUUAUUGAUUAUUAGAUCAAGUUACCUUAGGGAUAACAGCGUAAUCCUCCCCCAGAGUUCAUAUAUACAGGAUGGGCUUGCCACCCCCAUGUUGGAUUAAGAUAAUAAUUAUGUGUAGCCGCUUAAAUAAU